GAUGAACGCUGGCGGCGUGCCUAAUACAUGCCAGUCGAGCGAACAGACGAGGAGCUUGCUCCUCUGACGUUAGCGGCGGACGGGUGAGUAACACGUGGACAACCUACCUAUAAGACUGGGAUAACUUCGGGAAACCGGAGCUAAUACCGGAUAAUAUAUUGAACCGCAUGGUUCAAUAGUGAAAGACGGUUUUGCUGUCACUUAUAGAUGGAUCCGCGCCGCAUUAGCUAGUUGGUAAGGUAACGGCUUACCAAGGCAACGAUGCGUAGCCGACCUGAGAGGGUGAUCGGCCACACUGGAACUGAGACACGGUCCAGACUCCUACGGGAGGCAGCAGUAGGGAAUCUUCCGCAAUGGGCGAAAGCCUGACGGAGCAACGCCGCGUGAGUGAUGAAGGUCUUCGGAUCGUAAAACUCUGUUAUCAGGGAAGAACAAAUGUGUAAGUAACUAUGCACGUCUUGACGGUACCUAAUCAGAAAGCCACGGCUAACUACGUG
RNAcentral lists this ribosomal RNA (497 nucleotides) under uncultured bacterium. RNAcentral describes it as "partial 16S ribosomal RNA". It matches the Rfam family "Bacterial small subunit ribosomal RNA", at positions 28 to 507 of the family's 1533-position model. The record is from RNAcentral.